GGGAAACUUUAUUUCUGAUGCCAGUCAUGGCGAAAUUAAAAUAAAAAACCCGAUAUGCAGGGCAUCGGGCUCAUUU
This 76-nucleotide small RNA is filed under the name uncultured Escherichia sp. RNAcentral's name for it is "C0465 RNA". It matches the Rfam family "C0465 RNA". Rfam says of the family: This family consists of a number of bacterial RNA genes of 78 bases in length which are found between the tar and cheW genes in E. coli and Shigella flexneri. The function of this RNA is unknown. The record is from RNAcentral. Lineage: Bacteria; Pseudomonadati; Pseudomonadota; Gammaproteobacteria; Enterobacterales; Enterobacteriaceae.